RNAcentral lists this ribosomal RNA (737 nucleotides) under Staphylococcus devriesei. RNAcentral describes it as "bacterial LSU rRNA". It matches the Rfam family "Bacterial large subunit ribosomal RNA", at positions 1 to 734 of the family's 2925-position model. Lineage: Bacteria; Bacillati; Bacillota; Bacilli; Caryophanales; Staphylococcaceae. The record is from RNAcentral.
AGAUUAAGUUAUUAAGGGCGCACGGUGGAUGCCUUGGCACUAGAAGCCGACGAAGGACGUUACUAACGACGAUAUGCUUUGGGUAGCUGUAAGUAAGCGUUGAUCCAGAGAUUUCCGAAUGGGGAAACCCAGCACGAGUUAUGUCGUGUUAUCGACAAGUGAAUUCAUAGCUUGUCUGAAGGCAGACCCGGAGAACUGAAACAUCUUAGUACCCGGAGGAAGAGAAAGAAAAAUCGAUUCCCUGAGUAGCGGCGAGCGAAACGGGAAGAGCCCAAACCAAUAAGCUUGCUUAUUGGGGUUGUAGGACACUCUAUACGGAGUUAUAAAAGAAUAUAUUAAACGAAUCAUCUGGAAAGUUGAAUCAAAGAAGGUAAUAAUCCUGUAGUUGAAAAUAUAUUCUCUCUUGAGUGGAUCCUGAGUACGACGGAGCACGUGAAAUUCCGUCGGAAUCUGGGAGGACCAUCUCCUAAGGCUAAAUACUCUCUAGUGACCGAUAGUGAACCAGUACCGUGAGGGAAAGGUGAAAAGUACCCCGGAAGGGGAGUGAAAGAGAACUUGAAACCGUGUGCUUACAAGUAGUCAGAGCCCGUUAAUGGGUGAUGGCGUGCCUUUUGUAGAAUGAACCGGCGAGUUACGAUCUGAUGCAAGGUUAAGCAGAAAAUGUGGAGCCGUAGCGAAAGCGAGUCUGAAUAGGGCGUUGAGUAUUUGGUCGUAGACCCGAAACCAGGUGAUCUACC